RNAcentral lists this ribosomal RNA (497 nucleotides) under uncultured bacterium. RNAcentral describes it as "partial 16S ribosomal RNA". It matches the Rfam family "Bacterial small subunit ribosomal RNA", at positions 28 to 507 of the family's 1533-position model. The record is from RNAcentral.
GAUGAACGCUGGCGGCGUGCCUAAUACAUGCAAGUCGAGCGAACAGACGAGGAGCUUGCUCCUCUGACGUUAGCGGCGGACGGGUGAGUAACACGUGGAUAACCUACCUAUAAGACUUGGAUAACUUCGGAAAACCGGUGCCAAUACCGCCUAAUAUAUUGAACGGCUUGAUUCAAUGGUUAAUGAGGCUUUGCCCGCCUCUAUUAGAUGGUUCCGCGCUGCAUUAGCUAGUUGGUAAGGUAACGGCUAACCAAGGCAACGUUGCGUAGCCGACCUGAGAGGGUGAUCGGCCACACUGGAACUGAGACACGGUCCAGACUCCUACGGGAGGCAGCAGUAGGGAAUCUUCCGCAAUGGGCGAAAGCCUGACGGAGCAACGCCGCGUGAGUGAUGAAGGUCUUCGGCUCGUAAAACUCUGUUAUUAGGGAAGAACAAAUGUGUAAGUAUCUAUGCACGUCUUGACGGUACCUAAUCAGAAAGCCACGGCUAACUACGUG